CUCCUCCCCUGUGCCUGAGAGAUAGUCAGGAACUGUACAAACUCCAUUAUCUCCAAGUACAGAAAAACACACCUUUUCACAACACUCCAAAAGUACUCCCAAAAUCCAUGAAAACCCCUCAUGAGUUACAUCCCCAGAGAGCCUAGAGUGGUAGCAGUCGUUCAAUCUCGGGAGUCAAAAACAAAAUACCUAACCGAUCCUCUAGCUCCUAGGUAGCGAUUGUUCGCCUAGUUCAUGCGAACAAUCCUACCGAAUGUUACUCUCCUG
This is a non-coding RNA of Pelobates cultripes (western spadefoot toad), 267 nucleotides long. The record is from the annotation of a GenBank genome assembly. Lineage: Eukaryota; Metazoa; Chordata; Amphibia; Anura; Pelobatidae.